Molecule: ribosomal RNA, 235 nt
Filed under: uncultured bacterium
Lineage: Bacteria
Description: partial 16S ribosomal RNA
Rfam family: Bacterial small subunit ribosomal RNA
Source: RNAcentral
GAUCCUGGCUCAGGAUGAACGCUAGCGACAGGCUUAACACAUGCAAGUCGGAGGGGCAGCACAGGUAGCAAUACCGGGUGGCGACCGGCGCACGGGUGAGUAACGCGUAUGCAACUUGCCUAUCAGAGGGGGAUAACCCCGGCGAAAAGUCGGACUAAUACCCGCAUGAAGCAGGGGUCCCGCAUGGGGAUAUUUGCUAAAAGAUUCAUCGUCUGAUAGAUAGGCAUGCGUUCCA